Myodes glareolus (Bank vole) is the source of this 104-nucleotide small nuclear RNA. NCBI's taxonomy places the organism in Eukaryota, Metazoa, Chordata, Mammalia, Rodentia, Cricetidae. The record is from RefSeq and is a predicted model, not a curated record.
GUGCUCAUUUUAGUGGCACACAUACUAAAAUUGGAAUGAUACAAAGAUUAGCACAGCUCUUGCACAAGGAUCACACUCAAAUUCAGGCAGCGUUCUGUAUUAUU